Molecule: long non-coding RNA, 4573 nt
Organism: Gopherus evgoodei (Goodes thornscrub tortoise)
Lineage: Eukaryota; Metazoa; Chordata; Testudines; Testudinidae
Exons: 3
Source: RefSeq, a predicted model, not a curated record
GGGAUAGGUAGAUAGUUGCAGGAGGUGUAUGGGGAUGGAUGGAUGGCUAGAUACAGAUAGGUUGAUAAAUUUAAUGGAUGGAGGAGAUACCAGCAGAAUUUUUCACACUAGGUUAUUUUGCAAACGGCUUCUCUCUGUGGACUUGCUCACUGGGGACCAAUAUUUUGGAUUUAAAGCCAUUUUGGCUGGGAGACGACACCAGCGGCUGCUGCUUGUGGCUUGUGGAUUUCAGCAAUUCUUGGUGCCAUGACUUGGAUCCACAGCAUACCACCGGACUGGAGGACUGUUCCCCACUGAACCCGGGCACCAUCUGAAAGGUGUAUUCACUCACAGGUACAAAGUGCUCUGCCUGAACCAGCUGACGCGCUGUGCCACCCACUGCAGCCUGGAGAUUGGGUUUACAUUAAGGUACACCAGAGAAAGACUUCUGUGCAGCCUCACUGCAAAGGCCUCUACCAGCUCCUGUUGACCACCCACACAGUGGUCAAAUGCAAGGGACUUGUCAGCUGGAUCCACACCUCCCACUGCAAACAGAUAAUGCCACCUCUGAACUCAGACGCUAAAGAAUUCCAUCCGGCAGACCCCGCUCUAGGAAGCAGCCAGGGUGAUAGCAACAGUGAUCUCUCUCCAGGCCCUGAAAAGGAACCUAGAUAUAACCUCAGGAAACAAAAAUAGACCGCAGCACCCCGAUCCAUCAGUCCAUGGGCAAUCGGAGCCACCAUAAUCUCCUGUACGCUGCUUUUACAGCCAGCUGACGCUUCGGCCUGCUGGAAAAGGGACAAUAAGAGACACAAGGCCAGAAUAACGCCUUUAAAAGCCCAGUGGAGAGCCUAGCGCCCACUGGCACCCAGCUGCCAUGGCUGACCCCACAGCCAGAAUAAAAGAAACAGCCGUGGUGCAAAAAUGGCUCGUGCCCUCAAUUUGGUUCAUGUGUGUAGCUAUGCUCUUGCUGUUAUUGUUAAACUUCCAUGAUACCUUUAUGUUCUUUUGGAUGCCCAAGACCACCAUCAAAGGAAAAGAUCCCUUGAGAUCACUGGACCAGGAUCUGGGUAGUGUGCUAGCAACCUCUCCCCAGUAUAAUGCUAAACCACGACUGUUCCAACAGAGAAGAAGGAACACUCACGCUGCUGAAGCCCCCAAAGUCCAGAAAUUCCUAACAACAAGGGACAUUGAAAAUUGGCCCUGGUGGAAAAAACGAAGUAUUAUACAUUGGCAGGGAGGGAGUUGCGGGAUGUAUUCUUGGGAAUGUGGAGUUAAGUGGUGGGGUGGGUUUAUUCCAGAGGCUGCAAACUGUGUUUAUGGACAAGUACCAUCAGAAUGUACUGCCCUCCCUAAUUGGCUUCCGGAGGAUGAAUACCAAAACAGGCCUGGCAGGCACAAAUAUUAACCCCACCAUCUCCGCCACCUCUGCCAACAUCCCUGAAAUGUACCCAAUUACAGAUAAUACGGUAUAUUCUACCGAAAUCCAUUGGCCCAGAUCUUCACGUCUUCGUAAUUUACUAAAAUUUUGUUCAGAAAAAUUAUUUUCAUAGUCUAAAAUAAAGCAUAUGAAUGAGCAACUGAAUGGAAAACAAAUGGGUUGGUGGAAAUAGAAAUAUAUAUCACAUCAUUACAUAUGAGCCCCAGAAAUCAGAAGUUAAAAUCGAGGGGUUCUAUGAAGGGGUAGAUAUGAUGGCUGUUCCCGGAAUUUGCAGUAUGGAUGAAAGAGGCCCUUAUUGUUAUUUUGUCAUGCAAUUAGUAAAUAAUCAAACAUAUACCCAAAGGUUUGUUCUGCCAUGGGAGAUUUUACCUGUAUUGAAAUAAUUCCAAUAACUACUGUAAUAACUUAACCUGCACAACAUUGCAAUAUACCCCUUCCUAUGCUAUUAAUGUCAAUGCUUCUCAAAAGUACAUAGAAGUGUAUAGACAACAGAUGUGGUAUAGUACUUGACCAAAAAGGGACGUGUUAGGAUAUUGUAAGGGAAAAUCCAGUGGCAUCCAAACCUUAUCAGCCCAAGUCUCAUGUCAAACUGCCAAGGUCAUCUCGCUUAAAUGUACAAAGGAGUGGCACAGAGGAGACAGUGAAAAAUACCCAACAGUCCCCUAGCAAAAGCAAUUUUGCAAUAUCCUUUACAGUCGCCGUUUAACUGCAAAAGGACAGACAGUAAAUAACAGGAAAGGCCUAAUAUGGGAAAAAGUUUGCUCCAAUCUAUAUCGAUUAUGUAAUAUUUUUAGUAAGGAAAUAACAAGGAAAUGUGUGCAACUUUGUGUAACUAGUUUGUGGGUUUAAGCUUUAUAAGCCUGUCUGUAACCAGCUUCAGGGAGGUUGUUUCCCAUAGCGAUCCUCCCCUGCGUGCUUGUAAUCAAUAAAGAGCCUCAGACUGAUCUGAUUGAAAGACAAAAUGUGCGGAUUGAAUUUUCCACAACAGUAUAGAUGGACCCUGAUUAAUACUACGCUAGGAACUAUAAAUUUCACACUGCCCUUGUCCAGCUUCCAAGUCACCUCCACAUACCCUAAUUGCUGAGAGGGGCUGCCCUUAGGUUAGCGCAGCAAAGGGCCUAGGUUUCCUCUAGGGAAAAGAGGGACGUGACCGGACACUUGUGGGAUGGUGCCAACAGCGCAGAUGCUAUUUGAAAUAUUUAUAAAGGCCAACAACAUGAAGAAAAAGGAGGACAAUUGGAAAAGGCCACAGGUCUUAUUACUGGAGCCCAAUUAAUUCAGGUGCAGGCUGGAGUUGGCGAAUUGCGUGUUAUAACCCAGAAACUGCUCACAACACUGGUGCUAAAUAUCACUGAGGCUGGGAAGGCAUUGCAGUGGGAUCUGGCAUGUUCAGAAAUUCAAGAUUUCCUAAAUGACCAGCUGAUAGCCAUUCAAAGUGAUCUUGAGCAUCAGGCUUGGCCCACUGCCCUUAUAGAUACUUCAGGAGUAUCAUCUGAUCUAUGGACCUGGAGACAUACUUGGAGAUUUUCUGGGUGGAAGGUCAGACACUUGCAAUGCUCCUUCCAAGCUUAUGGACCCAUAAAAGGGGUGUGGACUCCCACAUUCUGAAUCCUGCUGGGUCUGUGGGGAGGAUGCAUGUGGGAUUGGAUAAUUCACUGAGACAUUUGGGAAAUUAAAAUACCUGGUGGGCCUAAUGGAUUUAUAGUCAGUGCUCCUGGAAUAACACCCGAUAUUUGGGUGGGGAUAGGGAGCCAAUGGACACUCUGGCUGUUAGAACCCCACAGCUCCAGUGUAUAUGCAAACUGAGGCCAGGAGAAGUCGUCACUGUUCACAACCACCCUAGUGGGACACCUGCUUUUCCAUGCAAAUAAUAGCUGGGUGUAUGUUACAGCCACCAUUUUGUAAGAUUUACAUUUUAAUCUCACCACUGUUGCUGGCAGUAAUAUUAUUUAUUGGCCUGCGGACAAACAUUUGCAAACAGCCCUUAAGUUUCAGAUACCUUUCAGUUGGACUGCCUUAUACCUGAUCAGUUCCAAAGUUUGCUUUCACUCCUCCCAGAGAUCCAGAAAAUCUCUGAAUUGCAAGGGCAAAUUCAUAUGCUCCAAAACAGAUACGGAAUUGAAGAGAAUGCUUUUCAUACAGCUUAUAGAAUGUCUACUUUAUGCCCUAAGUAUGAUGUAUUGUGUUCUGUGACUAAGGCUGUACAACCCCAUCAUAUUAUUCCAGUGGGAAUGCUAAUGCGUUUAUUGUUAUUGUUUAGCCUAAGGUUAUGUUAUUGCUGUUGUAAAAACCGUAAUAAUAAUGGCACCUUCCAUGUUCAUACUGACCAUGCAUUGUCAUUGCCUUCAACCAAAACCCCAAAGGCUAUACCACUUAAUUUAGAAUCAGAGAUACAGAAUUUAAUGAAUAUGCAAGUUUAGGCCAAGGUGGUGCCAAAAAGGCGCAAAAGGAAGGAUUGUAGAGGCAAAAUUAAGUAGGCCUGAACUUUGGUCAAGACAACUGUGUAUGUGGUCAGUGGACAGGUGGGGGGAGCGAGGAAAAUUACUAACAAGACACAAUUGCAACAGCCAGUAUUGCUUAAUGUAACUGCAACAGGUAGUGUUAGGAAAGCUGUUAAGCACAAAAGAACAACUUGUGAAUAACAGGAAAAGCUUGUUUUCGCUGUAUUCCUAAUAAGGGGAAAUGUUACCAAGGAGUAUGUGUAACUAAAUGUGGUUUUGAUCUCUAUAAGCUUGUGUGUUCCCUUUCUCGGGGGAGCUGCCAGACUGGUGGUCUCCCCCUGCAUCCCUGCAAUAAAGGGGCCUCAGGCUGUUCUGAUCCAAACACAACGCGUGGUCAUUUUUCCACAACACUGCUAACUUGCCUGGCCAGGCUGCAGAUGCUCCACCCCUGGUUUUUGUAUGAGUUCCUGCAUUGCUCUGUGUCACUGGAGCAGUAAUAGGUGGCGGUGUCCACAGCUGUCUGUGAGCGCAGCUGCAGAGAGAGCGCGUUUUUAGAUGUGUCUCUGGAGAAGCUCAGGUGGCUCUGGAGAGACAGGGUGUAGCCUGUGCCCCUGGUAGUGCCUAUAUACCCGAGCCACUCUAAGCCUUUGCCAGGAGGCUGCCGGACACAGUGCCAGCCUGUGAUAGUGAUGGAGAACCUGGAGACAGCACA